UAGCGACAGCAGACACCUCAAAGAAUCCAGGGAGGGACACUAGAGGUUGAGCAGCAAGCUGCUAAGUGAUUCAAAAGACUGGUUAGUAACACCUUUCUGUACUGGGCACAGGCCGCUAUUUUAACCAUGCAGCUUCUGUGGUUCAUGCAUUGCCUUAUGAUCUAUAGUCCUUCUUGCUGUAGGGCUUGUUGCGCAGUAUGUUAUCAAUCUCAUUUACCACAUGUGAUGUCAUCUUUGGGAGAACCUGAGAGCAGGAGGAGAAGUACAAAGGAUAUUGUUAGCAGUGUUGAUCAUUCGGUUUUUUGUGCUCUAUAUUUAGCAAAGUAAUCUAGAAUCAUAUAUCUUCAUAAACCACAGCUGAAAUCUAAGCCCCCCGCCCCCAACACCAUCACAUUGUAAGCUCCUUGAGGUCAGGGGCCUUGUUGAUUGACUGCAUAAAUGAAGGCAUAAAGGCAUAAGUGAAGGCUCAUAGAAAUACAGAGCAGCUCUAUCCAACAGAAAUAUAAUGCAAGCCACAUUUGUAAUUUAAAAUUUUCUAUUAGAUACCUUAAAAAGAACAGUGAAAUUAAUACAUGUUUUUACUUCAUUAUAUCCAAAACAUUAUUUCAACAUGUAAUCAAUAUAGAAAAGAUACUUGACAGUUGUUUUUGGUACUAAGUCACAUCUUGUGAACAUGUUACACUUAAAGCACAUCUCUGUUUGGACUCACCAUCUUUCCCGCAUACAAUAGCCACAUGUGGCUAGAACCAUAGUAGUACACAGCACAGGUCUAGAGACUAAGGAGAGAUUUAUUCUGACUGGUGGUCUUAUCCCUGGUGAAGGAUGGCUGGGGUUUAACAGGCAUCCCAGGUAGAUGGAAUAGCAUGGAAAAGUGAACUGGAGUGAUAGUAUACAGUGAUUGGUGUAGGUGUGGGGAUGCUAAGAACAGGAUACGGAUGGUAAGAAUGGGAUAAGAGUGUGGAAAGCCUUGAAUGCCAUUUUAUGGAGUCCCCACUUUAGGCAGUGGGGAACCUGUCAGGACUUCUGAUCUAGGAGUAACCCUAUCAGACACCUGGAGGUAGUUUGAAGGAUGAGCUGGAGGAGGUGGAAAGGGGACACAGAUAUUAGAUAUGUAUUACAAUCCAAGCCAGGCAAUAGGGCCUUAACUAGGGCAGUGGAGCAGAAAAGUGGACCUGAGAGACAUUUUGGGGGAAGAUGGUGGUUUCAAGACUGAGUAACUAGAAGUAUAUUGGUAUUGAUUAUUGAGAUUAGAAACCAAAGGAGAAGUAGUUUGGGGAAUAAGAAGUUGGGAGAGAAUAGGAUGUGUUGAGUGUAAAGUGCCUGUGGAAUAUCCACCUAGGAGUGACUGAGCAGCUGCAAGUGCAGCUGUGGAGCUUAGUAGCUGCCGGAGGACUGGAGUUGAGGGUUUGUGAGUCAUUUGCACCGACAUGCUGACUGAAGCCCCGGGAAAGGAUGAGCUCAUCCAAGGCUAGCAUUUACUGUGAGAAGUGGGCCAAGGGUACACAUUACACCAUAAGACAAGGGACAAAGGCAGACUUUCUCACUGGAAAAGUCUGACCCUGUGUGGAGACUGUGGUGAAAUACAAUUCUGACGACCAAUUCUGAGGUUUCAACCUCAUUCUUCCUUUGUUGCAAUCCUGCUGGCCAAGGUGACCUUGUCUCCAGUCAAGUGCUAUCCUCAGAAGCCUUAGGGUUUGGCAAAAUAGAGCUGCCAGCCUGGGAAACUUCAUUCUGGUUAAUGUUUUACUGUCUGAAGCUGAAGGAAGAAUUUGGUUUCCCACUAGCUCUGGAAUUUCAGUGUCCAAACAGCUAAUGUGUUAUUUAAAAUGAGAUUGU
Molecule: long non-coding RNA, 1836 nt
Filed under: Homo sapiens (human)
Lineage: Eukaryota; Metazoa; Chordata; Mammalia; Primates; Hominidae
Description: non-protein coding lnc-SSR3-5:1
Source: RNAcentral